Non-coding RNA from Onychostoma macrolepis, 562 nucleotides. Lineage: Eukaryota; Metazoa; Chordata; Actinopteri; Cypriniformes; Cyprinidae. The record is from the annotation of a RefSeq genome assembly.
AUGUUGCUCCUGGUCCUCAUGAUAUUUUUGCUUUGUAAGGAUAAUGCUGAUGCUGAAGUAAUAACAUCAUUCUCCUCAAAGCAGCAUGUUUUGUCAGGAAGAGAUGUUACACUUUCCUGCAACUACAGUGGCAAUGUUCGCAGUCUGCAGUGGUACCGUCAGCAUCCCGGAUCCAAACCUGAGCACCUCAUUAUGUUCUUUGAGACCAUCCUCAAAUCAGAGCCCGCUCUCCGUCUGACCGCUGCAGCUGAUAAAGCAGCCAAAAGUAUGAAUCUGACCAUCUAUUCUACAGAAGUGAAAGACUCUGCCGUGUACUAUUGUGCCCUGGAGCCUACAGUGACAGGAAACACAACUACACUGUACAAAAACAGAGUGAGAAAGUAUAUUUAAGACAGUAGAUGAUGAUGAUGCACAAUGCAGAUUUUAAAACUACACUUUUUAUAAACUGGACCAGUUGCAACCUUUUGAAAUAGUUUUCAAACACAUGUAGAGUGCAAUUGGUAGUGUCCUCACCAUUAAUAUUAUCAGACUACUUAAUACACACUGUAAAAAAAAAAGUUGA